AAUCAACGCUGGCGGCGUGCCUAACACAUGCAAGUCGGACGGAUCAGGUAUGACAGCUUGCUGUAGUGCCUGGUUAGUGGCGGACGGGUGAGUAACGCGUGAGGACCUACCCUGGAGAGGGGGAUAACGGCUGGAAACGGCUGCUAAUACCCCGUAAGCCUGAGGGUGAAAGGGAGCGAUCUGCUCCGGGGCGGCCUUGCGUCCUAUCAGCUAGUUGGUGGGGUAAUGGCCUACCAAGGCGAAGACGGGUAGCCGGCCUGAGAGGAUGAUCAGCCACACUGGAACUGAGACACGGUCCAGACUCCUACGGGAGGCAGCAGUGAGGAAUAUUGCGCAAUGGGGGCAACCCUGACGCAGCAACGCCGCGUGAGUGAGGAAGGUUUUCGGACUGUAAAGCUCUGUCGAGCGGGAAGAAGUGUACCAUGGCUAAUAUCCAUGAUAUUUGACGGUACCGCUAGAGGAAGCACCGGCUAACUCCGUGCCAGCAGCCG
Molecule: ribosomal RNA, 491 nt
Filed under: uncultured bacterium
Lineage: Bacteria
Description: bacterial SSU rRNA
Rfam family: Bacterial small subunit ribosomal RNA
Source: RNAcentral